CUACGGGUGGCUGCAGUGGGGAAUAUUGCCCAAUGGGCGCAAGCCUGAUGCAGCCAUGCCGCGUGUAUGAAGAAGGCCUUCGGGUUGUAAAGUACUUUCAGCGGGGAGGAAGGGAGUAAAGUUAAUACCUUUGCUCAUUGACGUUACCCGCAGAAGAAGCACCGGCUAACUCCGUGCCAGCAGCCGCGGUGAUACGGAGGGUGCAAGCGUUAAUCGGAAUUACUGGGCGUAAAGCGCACGCAGGCGGUUUGUUAAGUCAGAUGUGAAAUCCCCGGGCUCAACCUGGGAACUGCAUCUGAUACUGGCAAGCUUGAGUCUCGUAGAGGGGGGUAGAAUUCCAGGUGUAGCGGUGAUAUGCGUAGAGAUCUGGAGGAAUACCGGUGGCGAAGGCGGCCCCCUGGACGAAGACUGACGCUCAGGUGCGAAAGCGUGGGGAGCAAACAGGAUUAGAUACCCUGGUAGUC
Molecule: ribosomal RNA, 464 nt
Filed under: uncultured bacterium
Lineage: Bacteria
Description: partial 16S ribosomal RNA
Rfam family: Bacterial small subunit ribosomal RNA
Source: RNAcentral